RNAcentral lists this ribosomal RNA (460 nucleotides) under uncultured bacterium. RNAcentral's name for it is "partial 16S ribosomal RNA". It matches the Rfam family "Bacterial small subunit ribosomal RNA", at positions 338 to 795 of the family's 1533-position model. The record is from RNAcentral.
CCUACGGGUGGCAGCAGUGAGGAAUAUUGGUCAAUGGGCGAGAGCCUGAACCAGCCAAGUCGCGUGAAGGAUGACGGCCCUACGGGUUGUAAACUUCUUUUGUCAGGGAGCAAUUUGGUCCACGCGUGGGCUGAGCGAGAGUACCUGAAGAAAAAGCAUCGGCUAACUCCGUGCCAGCAGCCGCGGUAAUACGGAGGAUGCGAGCGUUAUCCGGAUUUAUUGGGUUUAAAGGGUGCGUAGGCGGAAUAUCAAGUCAGCGGUAAAAGUUCGGGGCUCAACCCCGUCGUGCCGUUGAAACGGAUGUUCUUGAGUGGGCGAGAGGUAUGCGGAAUGCGUGGUGUAGCGGUGAAAUGCAUAGAUAUCACGCAGAACUCCGAUUGCGAAGGCAGCAUACCGGCGCCCAACUGACGCUGAAGCACGAAAGCGUGGGUAUCGAACAGGAUUAGAUACCCCUGUAGUC